This 1032-nucleotide long non-coding RNA is filed under the name Homo sapiens (human). RNAcentral describes it as "GRK3 antisense RNA 1, transcript variant 3 (GRK3-AS1)". Lineage: Eukaryota; Metazoa; Chordata; Mammalia; Primates; Hominidae. The record is from RNAcentral.
CACUAGCGCUCUGCGCGCGCCGCAGGCUGUAGCCGGCCGGGGUCGCAGCACGCCUCCCCGCUCCGCCCCCUCGCGCGCCGCCCGGCGCCCCGCGCACGCGCGCCGCCCCCUGCUCCUUCAGCGAGGGUCUGCGGGGAGCGCGCGUCCAACGCAGGUAAUGAUGAAACUCCUGCUCUGGUCCGGGCUACCGGUGAACAGCGCCCAGCGGGCCGGGCCCCCAACCUCGCUCCUGAGCCUGAACAUCCCCCCAACCCCACCGUGAGAAUUCAGCGAAGAGUAAAAGCUGGAAAAAGUUGCGUGUCUUAGGCUAAGCAGAACAAAGUGGGGUGACGGCUCCCCGGCUAGGAACAGAGAUGCCCUUAGGGAGCCCUCUGAUGGAAGAGCUCUCCGCUUAAGAAGGUCACCACUCCCUUACACUCAGGAGAUGUUGCUGAGAUGGGUGCAUUAAAGUUUAGGCUUUCCAGAGUUUAUAUUGCUAACAACUUGAAAGGAAAAAAGCUAACUAGAGAACUGACUGGUCUUAUUUGUUUUAGAUUCUGGGCUUUACUAAGACUUCCUACUCUCAGAAUCUCUGGACUAUAAACGCUGGGUGGGGUGGGAGCUGGGAAUGUUAUUCUGGAAAAUUAAUCACAAAUGAAAAGAAAAUCAACUCUAAGACUCCAGUUAGAAGAUUUUUGAAAAUGGCAGAACAUGACUGGCCUUCAUUCAAGUCAGAAUAUUUAAAGCAAUCCUUGCUAAGAAGAACUUGAUUUUGUAUAAGCAGUCCCUUAAAUACAGUUGCUUCUCAAGAAAACCACACACAAUUGAUGUUUGAAUGGCUUUAUUUACAAACAUCUCACUCCGUAAGCCUCUGCAGGUAUUUCUAGCCUCCCAGGGGCCACUGUCCCGUUUCACCUGUAAUUUGGAUCACAAUUCUGUUUGUUGUCACACACAUCAUAUGAACUGCUUUUCAUGCUGCUUUUAUCCACAAAGCUUUACAAGCUUUAAUGGCAGCUCUAUGUAUGACAACUUUAUAAAGAUCUGCCAAAAGGU